UACGUAGGGGGCAAGCGUUGUCCGGAUUCAUUGGGCGUAAAGAGCGUGUAGGCGGCCAGUUAGGUCGGUUGUGAAAACUGGAGGCUCAACCUUCAGAGGUCGACCGAAACCAUCUGGCUAGAGUCCGGGAGAGGAGAGUGGAAUUCCUGGUGUAGCGGUGAAAUGCGCAGAUAUCAGGAAGAACACCCGUGGCGAAAGCGGCUCUCUGGAACGGUACUGACGCUGAGACGCGAAAGCGUGGGGAGCGAACAGG
This 253-nucleotide ribosomal RNA is filed under the name uncultured bacterium. Its description in RNAcentral is "partial 16S ribosomal RNA". It matches the Rfam family "Bacterial small subunit ribosomal RNA", at positions 524 to 776 of the family's 1533-position model. The record is from RNAcentral.